Molecule: ribosomal RNA, 301 nt
Filed under: uncultured bacterium
Lineage: Bacteria
Description: partial 16S ribosomal RNA
Rfam family: Bacterial small subunit ribosomal RNA
Source: RNAcentral
CAGUAGCCACGGGAAUACAGAGGGUGCGAGCGUUAAUCGGAUUUACUGGGCGUAAAGCGUGCGUAGGCGGCUUCUUAAGUCGGAUGUGAAAUCCCUGAGCUUAACUUAGGAAUUGCAUUCGAUACUGGGAAGCUAGAGUAUGGGUGAGGAUGGUAGAAUUCCAGGUGUAGCGGUGAAAUGCGUAGAGAUCUGGAGGAAUACCGAUGGCGAAGGCAGCCAUCUGGCCUAAUACUGACGCUGAGGUACGAAAGCAUGGGGAGCAAACAGGAUUAGAUACCCCUGUAGUCCCUGUCUCUUAUAA